UAAAUAGUAGCGGGAACCUUGGUUCCUUGCGACUUCUUAGAGGGACUAACCACGUUUAGUGGUUGGAAGUUUGAGGCAAUAACAGGUCUGUGAUGCCCUUAGAUGUUCUGGGCUGCACGCGCGCUACACUGAUAGAGGCAGCGAGUAUACAACCUUGGCCGGAAGGUCUG
This 170-nucleotide ribosomal RNA is filed under the name Rozellomycota sp. RNAcentral describes it as "Cryptomycota sp. partial small subunit ribosomal RNA". It matches the Rfam family "Eukaryotic small subunit ribosomal RNA", at positions 1352 to 1544 of the family's 1831-position model. The record is from RNAcentral. Lineage: Eukaryota; Fungi; Rozellomycota.